GAUCAUGGCUCAGGAUGAACGCUAGCGGCAGGCCUAACACAUGCAAGUCGAGGGGCAGCACGGUGUAGCAAUACACUGGUGGCGACCGGCGCACGGGUGCGUAACGCGUAUGCAACCUUACCCAUAACAGGGGGAUAACACUGAGAAAUUGGUACUAAUACCCCAUAACAUCAGGACCGGCAUCGUUCUGUUGAAACACCGUGGUUAUGNUGGUCGAUGCGUGUAUUA
Molecule: ribosomal RNA, 228 nt
Filed under: uncultured bacterium
Lineage: Bacteria
Description: partial 16S ribosomal RNA
Rfam family: Bacterial small subunit ribosomal RNA
Source: RNAcentral